GAAAUGCGAUAAGUAAUGUGAAUUGCAGAAUUCAGUGAAUCAUCGAAUCUUUGAACGCACAUUGCGCCCGCCAGUAUUCUGGCGGGCAUGCCUGUUCGAGCGUCAUUUCAACCAUCAAGCCCCCGGCUUGUGUUGGGGACCUGCGGCUGCCCGCAGGCCCUGAAAAACAGUGGCGGGCUCGCUGUCACACCGAGCGUAGUAGCAUACAUUCUCGCUCAGGGCGUGCUGCGGGUUCCGGCCGUUAAACGACCUUCAUAACCCAAGGUUGACCUCGGUUCAGGUAGGAAGACCCGCUGAACUUAAGC
This 305-nucleotide unclassified non-coding RNA is filed under the name plant metagenome. Its description in RNAcentral is "partial contains 5.8S ribosomal RNA, internal transcribed spacer 2, and large subunit ribosomal RNA". The stretch from base 1 to 105 matches the Rfam family "5.8S ribosomal RNA", at positions 50 to 154 of the family's 154-position model. The record is from RNAcentral.